This 69-nucleotide transfer RNA is filed under the name Henicorhynchus siamensis (Siamese mud carp). Its description in RNAcentral is "tRNA-His". It matches the Rfam family "tRNA". Rfam says of the family: Transfer RNA (tRNA) molecules are approximately 80 nucleotides in length. Their secondary structure includes four short double-helical elements and three loops (D, anti-codon, and T loops). The record is from RNAcentral. Lineage: Eukaryota; Metazoa; Chordata; Actinopteri; Cypriniformes; Cyprinidae.
GUCAGUAUAGUUUAACAAAAACAUUAGAUUGUGAUUCUAAAAAAAGAGGUUAAAAACCUCUUACUAACC